Molecule: ribosomal RNA, 399 nt
Filed under: uncultured bacterium
Lineage: Bacteria
Description: partial 16S ribosomal RNA
Rfam family: Bacterial small subunit ribosomal RNA
Source: RNAcentral
AAUAUUGCACAUUGGGCUCCAGCCUGCUGCCGCAACGCCGCGUGAGUGAUGACCGCCUUCGCGUCGUAAAGCUCUUCGACUAUGGCUGAUCCUGCCCGUACCUGAACAACAAGCAACGGCUAACUACGUGCCAGCAGCCGCGGUAAUACGUAGGUGGCGAGCGUUGUCCGGAAUUACUGGGCGUAAAGGAUGCGUAGGUGGAUACUUAAGUGGGAUGUGAAAUCCCCGGGCUCAACCCGGGAACUGCAUUCCAAACUGGGUAUCUAGAGUGCAGGAGAGGAAAGCGGAAUUCCUAGUGUAGCGGUGAAAUGCGUAGAUAUUAGGAGGAACACCAGUGGCGAAGGCGGCUUUCUGGACUGUAACUGACACUGAGGCAUGAAAGCGUGGGUAGCAAACAGG